AGACGCUCCUACUUCGUCCAAUCAGAAGCGAUCGAGCGUGAAAUCCCACCUCUACGACGAUGCUGAACACCCACUCCCGGCGGUCCUAGCUUGGAAGGCCGCAAACAGAGUAACCAAUCACAGUUCAUCUCUCUAAGCAGACACACAUAAUAUAACGAAGGCCAGCCGUUACGGCGUUUGGAAGCCGUCCCUUUGAAAUUCGAACGUUCAUUCCUACUCCGCCCACGGGUAUUCUAUUAUACUAGUUUAAAAGGAGCGCGACAGGAGCACGAUUGAAGUGGAAACUCGUUAUUACUGCCUGUUCUUCAGAAACCACCGUCGAUGGGUGUCAGCUUUCCCCUCUCGUUCUCAUUAUUUCUUAUCAAAAUGUGAAUGAGAAGAAAUUUUCAUUCGAUCUGCGCCAGCCAUCUUGACUCUAUGGCGCAAGUUUUAAACCUCGAUCGUGCGAUUGCCGAAAGAAAGAAGGUGGACUGAAGCCGAAUUGGAAAAGAAAUGAUAACGUAAGUUACAUAUUAAUUUUUUUGUUUAAAUAUUCGUCAAAUAAAAAAUACCUAAUAGUUAUUGCGAAAGCGCGAUGAAAUACCUACGCUCGUUCGUCUUCCCUAUGGGGCUUCCUUAAAAUACAGGGGCAAUAUCUUCUUCUCGUGAUGUUUCUUCCUACGGUACGACGCCACCGUGAACGCGUUUCGCUCGAUUAGGAACUGCGCCAUGAUGAAAAUGCAGCUAAUAUAAAUUGGCGAAACUAAGAAGUUUCUCUCUGUCUCCUUCUCUUGCGGUGACGAGCGUUCAGCGAACCUUUAACUUAUAAUUAGAAUGAAAGUUCUCGAAAACUCGAGAAAUAAGAAAAUUUUUGUUUUAAUACCAGCAGGUUCAUUGUUUAACCUAUAUCAAGUAAUUGUGUUUAAAUAUAUAUAUAUAUAUAUUACAUAUAUGUAUAUAUAUAUAUAUUUAAACACAAUUAAAUUAGCGAAUAAUUCUCUCAGUAUUGAAUGACUUUUCGAAACACCCUGUAUAUCGCUAUUUUGCAUACCAGUCUCGAAGAGUCAUAAAAGUAACUAAGAAAGAGAAAGAGAGAGAGAGAGAGGAAGAGAGAGGCGGAACACAUAAUUAAGAAAGUCUCAGUACUCUUCUCUCUCUCUCUUUCUCUCUCUGCCUCUCUCUCUCUCUCUCUCUCUCUCUCUCUCUCUCUCUCUCUCUCUCUCUCUCUCUCUCUCUCUCUCUCUCUCUCUUUCAAGACGACGAAGACAUCGGCUUCUCUCUCGCGGUGGUGGCAAAGCGGCCUGCCUCUUUCCCCGUUUUACAUUCGGCAGUACAAAUAGCUCGGCGACCCCUGGCCUCGUGUCGGCUCCUCUCAUGUUUCUUCCUCAGAGUGCUUGUCUCUCUUGUCGCGCACGCUUCACGCUUCUGCGCGCCCACACCCUUGCUUGUCUCUCUCUCUCUCUCUCUCUCUCUCGCUUUCUCUUUCUCUCUCAUAUACACCCUUUCUUUCUUUCCUUCGUCGUCGACGAUGCCGAUGCCGACGCCGACGCCGACGCCGACGCCGACGCCGACGCCGACGCUGACGAUGUCGACUUUUGAAUCUCUACUUCCUUUUCUUUUCUCUUUUCUCGUAUGCCGAAGAACUGCCUGGCGGAGACACAUUAGCCGUAUUCCGAGUUUGCAUGGCGGAACGCCUCCUUUUCCUCGUCCUCCUGUACCACCUUUUUCUUCUUCUUCUUCUUCUCCUCUUCCUCCUCUUCUUCUUCUUCACCCCCUUUUCCUUCUUUCUUGUACCAUCCCCACCCUCUCUAGCACGGUUAUUAUGAGGAUGGAUAGAGGUUGGAGCCGCCUUCCACGUAUCCGUAGAGACCUAAUGCCAUCGACUUCUAAAUUGUGUAAAUUGCUAAAUGAAUGUGAAACGUUUAACUCCCACCAACUCACCUACCUCCGCCCCCUCACUUGCUCUCUCUCUUUCUUUCACUCUCUAAGACCAACCCUUCUCUUUUAUUUCCUUUCUUUACCAGAGAAAGCAUCGUAACACGAGCAAUCAAAAUACGACGCACUUUUCGGAUGAUAUCCCUAAUGUUCCGCUUUGAUCGCCCAAUUGUAUUUUCCAAUCUCUCUUCGAAUUUAUUUUUUUGGUAUAAUAUUUUAUAUGAAUAUGUUUUUUUUUCUUUUUCGUUGAAAGUAUUGAAUUUCUCGUGACUAAACUUACUUUAAACAUUUUCGGGAAUCGGUUAUUUUUCUCUCAAAUUCUUCUUCCUCUUUUUUAUCUUCUUUUUUCUUCUUUCUAUCCUUUAAUCUUUCUUGUUGAUUAUAUUUUCAAGACAAACGUGCAUAUUGAUUUACAUACAUUUAUAUGCAUGCGUAUUAGAGUAUAAAAUUGUACCGUUUCAAUCAUGAAAUCUAAUGAAAUUUUUUAUUCGCGUCCCUACUUAUCCUUACAGACGUUUAGAAAUGUUUAAUGAUAUAAAUUCAUGUAUUUUAUGAAGUAUAAGUAUAAUAAAAAGAGAAAACAAUAUGAGAAUAUAUAAGAGGAGAAUUUUACUGUAUCAAGAAUCCACGUUAUACAAUCAUGCUGAAGAAGUUCUCUUUUUCUUUUCUUUUAUUUUACUGAUGAUAGAAAAAAGAGUGUACAGUCUCUAAGGUGCUCUUUAUUCCUGUAUUUUCUGUUCCAUAUAUAUUUUACACUUUUUUUAUGCCUUCAAAUAUAACGAGCGUUAGAGGAACAAAGAGAGCAGGUUUUCAAAGUGUACACCGACCGAGACUGUGAUCACUUUUUUCUUAUAUUAUCCGAGCGAUUUGUCGGAUUAAUUCGCGCUUAGAUGGUCCACGCCUAUCGCUGGAUUUAUUGCAAAGAAAAUUAUUUCUAUUGCAGAAUAUAUUGCACACAUUCUUCUUGUACUUUAUAUUCUGAUAGCAUGUAGUUACAUUCUCAUCGAUAUGAAUACAUCAUGUAAAGACGAUGUAAUGUCCACAAAUUAAAAAAAAAAAA
Molecule: long non-coding RNA, 2974 nt
Organism: Vespa mandarinia (Asian giant hornet)
Lineage: Eukaryota; Metazoa; Arthropoda; Insecta; Hymenoptera; Vespidae
Source: RefSeq, a predicted model, not a curated record